CUAAUCCUGAUGUGUACGUUGAAAAUCCAAAUGUUUUGACCGAACAUUUUAAAGUCGGGAGCCCAAUGUUUUCUUGAGGAUUACAUGCCCCACUCGUUUGAGGACUUAAGAGUCAAGGGACAGGGCACCCACCUGCCUAGAGCGGGUUCAAAACUUUCUAUUGAGACGGCACGAUCGGGAUUAUC
This 185-nucleotide non-coding RNA is filed under the name Halolactibacillus alkaliphilus. RNAcentral's name for it is "6S / SsrS RNA". It matches the Rfam family "6S / SsrS RNA". From Rfam's summary of the family: E. coli 6S RNA was the first non coding RNA to be sequenced, but its function was unknown until recently. It consists of 184 nucleotides that fold into an extended hairpin structure with a large single-stranded internal bulge. The record is from Rfam by way of RNAcentral. Lineage: Bacteria; Bacillati; Bacillota; Bacilli; Caryophanales; Bacillaceae.